AGGAUGAACGCUGGCGGUCUGCUUAACACAUGCAAGUCGAACGGAGUACCUCGGUACUUAGUGGCGGACGGGUGAGUAACGCGUGAGAAUCUGCCCUUAGGUCGGGGACAACCAUUGGAAACGAUGGCUAAAUACCGGAUAAGCCGAGAGGUAAAAGAUUAAUUGCCUAGGGAAGAGCUCGCGUCUGAUUAGCUAGUUGGUGAGGUAAAGGCUCACCAAGGCAUCGAUCAGUAGCUGGUCUGAGAGGAUGAUCAGCCACACUGGGACUGAGACACGGCCCAGACUCCUACGGGAGGCAGCAGCGGGGAAUUUUCCGCAAUGGGCGAAAGCCUGACGGAGCAAGACCGCGUGAGGGAGGAAGGCUCGUUGGGUUGUAAACCUCUUUUCUUGGGGAAGAACAAAUGACGGUACCAAGGAAUCAGCAUCGGCUAACUCCGUGCCAGCAGCCGC
This 450-nucleotide ribosomal RNA is filed under the name uncultured bacterium. Its description in RNAcentral is "SSU rRNA". It matches the Rfam family "Bacterial small subunit ribosomal RNA", at positions 26 to 518 of the family's 1533-position model. The record is from RNAcentral.